RNAcentral lists this ribosomal RNA (429 nucleotides) under Bacteroidota bacterium. RNAcentral describes it as "Bacteroidetes bacterium partial 16S ribosomal RNA". It matches the Rfam family "Bacterial small subunit ribosomal RNA", at positions 355 to 776 of the family's 1533-position model. Lineage: Bacteria; Pseudomonadati; Bacteroidota. The record is from RNAcentral. RNAcentral also lists the same sequence under 1 other name.
UAGGGAAUCUUCGGCAAUGGGGGGAACCCUGACCGAGCAACGCCGCGUGAGUGAAGAAGGUUUUCGGAUCGUAAAGCUCUGUUGUUAAGGAAGAACGAGUGUGAGAAUGGAAAGUUCAUGCUGUGACGUUACUUAACCAGAAAGGGACGGCUAACUACGUGCCAGCAGCCGCGGUAAUACGUAGGUCCCGAGCGUUGUCCGGAUUUAUUGGGCGUAAAGCGAGCGCAGGCGGUUAGAAAAGUCUGAAGUGAAAGGCAGUGGCUCAACCAUUGUAGGCUUUGGAAACUGUUUAACUUGAGUGCAGAAGGGGAGAGUGGAAUUCCAUGUGUAGCGGUGAAAUGCGUAGAUAUAUGGAGGAACACCGGUGGCGAAAGCGGCUCUCUGGUCUGUAACUGACGCUGAGGCUCGAAAGCGUGGGGAGCGAACAGG